RNAcentral lists this ribosomal RNA (468 nucleotides) under uncultured bacterium. RNAcentral describes it as "partial 16S ribosomal RNA". It matches the Rfam family "Bacterial small subunit ribosomal RNA", at positions 28 to 507 of the family's 1533-position model. The record is from RNAcentral.
GACGAACGCUGGCGGCGUGCUUAACACAUGCAAGUCGAACGGAAAGGCCCUGCUUUUGUGGGGUGCUCGAGUGGCGAACGGGUGAGUAACACGUGAGUAACCUGCCCUUGACUUUGGGAUAACUUCAGGAAACUGGGGCUAAUACCGGAUAGGAGCUCCUGCUGCAUGGUGGGGGUUGGAAAGUUUCGGCGGUUGGGGAUGGACUCGCAGCUUAUCAGCUUGUUGGUGGGGUAGUGGCUUACCAAGGCUUUGACGGGUAGCCGGCCUGAGAGGGUGACCGGCCACAUUGGAACUGAGAUACGGCCCAGACUCCUACGGGAGGCAGCAGUGGGGAAUAUUGCACAAUGGGCGGAAGCCUGAUGCAGCAACGCCGCGUGCGGGAUGACGGCCUUCGGGUUGUAAACCGCUUUCGCCUGUGACGAAGCGUGAGUGACGGUAAUGGGUAAAGAAGCACCGGCUAACUACGUG